UCAGGGGAGGAAGGCAGCAGCAGCGGCG
Molecule: non-coding RNA, 28 nt
Filed under: Rhodella violacea
Lineage: Eukaryota; Rhodophyta; Rhodellophyceae; Rhodellales; Rhodellaceae
Source: RNAcentral